This 301-nucleotide ribosomal RNA is filed under the name uncultured bacterium. RNAcentral describes it as "partial 16S ribosomal RNA". It matches the Rfam family "Bacterial small subunit ribosomal RNA", at positions 509 to 807 of the family's 1533-position model. The record is from RNAcentral.
CAGCAGCCACGGGGAUACGUAGGUGGCAAGCGUUGUCCGGAAUUAUUGGGCGUAAAGGGCUCGCAGGCGGUUUCUUAAGUCUGAUGUGAAAGCCCCCGGCUCAACCGGGGAGGGUCAUUGGAAACUGGGAAACUUGAGUGCAGAAGAGGAGAGUGGAAUUCCACAUGUAGCGGUGAAAUGCGUAGAGAUGUGGAGGAACACCAGUGGCGAAGGCGACUCUCUGGUCUGUAACUGACGCUGAGGAGCGAAAGCGUGGGGAGCGAACAGGAUUAGAUACCCGGGUAGUCCCUGUCUCUUAUAC